RNAcentral lists this ribosomal RNA (405 nucleotides) under uncultured Desulfobulbus sp. Its description in RNAcentral is "bacterial SSU rRNA". It matches the Rfam family "Bacterial small subunit ribosomal RNA", at positions 983 to 1382 of the family's 1533-position model. The record is from RNAcentral. Lineage: Bacteria; Pseudomonadati; Thermodesulfobacteriota; Desulfobulbia; Desulfobulbales; Desulfobulbaceae.
GACAUCCCGGAGACCUUAGGAACUAGGGGUGCUUCCAUCUGGAAGAAUCUGGAGACAGGUGCUGCAUGGCUGUCGUCAGCUCGUGUCGUGAGAUGUUGGGUUAAGUCCCGCAACGAGCGCAACCCUUGCCUUUAGUUGCCAGCAGUUCGGCUGGGCACUCUAAAGGGACUGCCGGUGUUAAACCGGAGGAAGGUGGGGGAUGACGUCAAGUCCUCAUGGCCUUUAUGACCAGGGCUACACACGUACUACAAUGGCCGAUACAAAGGGCAGCGACACUGCGAGGUGAAGCCAAUACCCGUAAAAAUCGGUCUCAGUCCGGAUUGGAGUCUGCAACUCGACUCCAUGAAGUUGGAAUCGCUAGUAAUCGUGGAUCAGCAUGCCACGGUGAAUACGUUCCCGGGCCUU